AGAUUGCAAGAAAGCUCACAGCAGUGAACUGUAACAAAUGGGAACCUUGAUUUCAAUAGCAUCACAUUCUUGGGAUGCAUGGAUACAGUGAAGUCUUCCAUGGAGAUUUUGAACUCCAAAGCCUCGCAUCUUCCUUGGAGGUGCUGCAAUCAAAGGUCAGCUCUGCUCUGGUCCAGACUCUGUGGUUCAGCGCUGGAGAGGGCCGAGGUCACACAUUAUAUUAUCAAGGAAGCAGGGCUGCCUGAGUGCAGCACCACAGGUACUAACUAUAGAGCUGGAGAGCACUCAAAUCCAGGAUGCAGAGAUUCAGAAGUGUAGGUUGAGAGAGCGCUCAGAUUCUGCUGAAGCUGGUGCGUUGAGCAUCCUCUGUACUUCAUCUGCCUGCUCAUGCACUCCCUGGUGAGUUCAACAACCCUGAAAAAUUAGAAUUGGCUCAAUUCGACCAGCUCAGCGGUGCAUGAGUACCAAGGGGAUUUUUUUUUUCCUUUUUAUUUGACUUGCAGGAAACUACCUUCAAUGAGAUUUUAUAGUCUCUUGAAGCCUGGAGACUUUUCCCCCAUACUUUUGUCUUGUAAUGUCCUGAUAAAAGUAUAAAACAAAACUUGAUGAAUUUCAUCCAAUUUGAGCUUCCUCAUUUAUAGUAGCCUGCAAGAAAAUGCUGGGCACAUUUCACUUCUAAUGAUUUAAUUCUAAUUAGUAUUUAUACUAUCUUCUAAUUCCAAUAAUACACUGCUAAAUGAGUGUAGAAAUGUAUUUAUUGAUUCACGCAUGAACAGUAUAACAUCAUGCAUUCAGAUGUUGUUGAGAUAGCUAGAAAGAUAUGUAUUCACACAUUUUCUAAAUUUUCCCACAUUCUUUGAUUAUAAUCCUUCUUUUUAUAUUUCUUACUGUGAUAAUGAGUCUUCUAAAUUGCUAUUUGUAAUAAAUUUUGAGCAAGAUUAUUCA
RNAcentral lists this long non-coding RNA (945 nucleotides) under Oryctolagus cuniculus (rabbit). Its description in RNAcentral is "lncRNA (ENSOCUG00000032550.1)". Lineage: Eukaryota; Metazoa; Chordata; Mammalia; Lagomorpha; Leporidae. The record is from RNAcentral.